RNAcentral lists this unclassified non-coding RNA (348 nucleotides) under soil metagenome. RNAcentral's name for it is "partial contains 5.8S ribosomal RNA, internal transcribed spacer 2, and large subunit ribosomal RNA". The stretch from base 1 to 120 matches the Rfam family "5.8S ribosomal RNA", at positions 35 to 154 of the family's 154-position model. The record is from RNAcentral.
GAUGAAGAACGUAGCAAAAUGCGAUAAGUAAUGUGAAUUGCAGAAUUCAGUGAAUCAUCGAAUCUUUGAACGCACAUUGCGCCCGCUGGUAUUCCGGCGGGCAUGCCUGUUCGAGCGUCAUUUCAACCCUCAAGCCCCCGGGUUUGGUGUUGGGGAUCGGCUCUGCCCUUCUGGGCGGUGCCGCCCCCGAAAUACAUUGGCGGUCUCGCUGCAGCCUCCAUUGCGUAGUAGCUAACACCUCGCAACUGGAACGCGGCGCGGCCAUGCCGUAAAACCCCAACUUCUGAAUGUUGACCUCCGAUCAGGUAGGAAUACCCGCUGAACUUAAGCAUAUCAAUAAGCGGAGGA